UCCGUAGGUGGCAAGCGUUGUCCGGAAUUACUGGGCGUAAAGGGCGUGUAGGCGGGGGAGCAAGUCAGAUGUGAAAUUCCAUGGCUUAACUGUGGCGCUGCAUCUGAAACUGCUCUUCUUGAGUGUCGGAGAGGAAAGUGGAAUUCCCAGUGUAGCGGUGAAAUGCGUAGAGAUUGGGAGGAACACCAGUGGCGAAGGCGGCUUUCUGGACGAUAACUGACGCUGAGGCGCGAAAGCGUGGGGAGAAAACAGG
RNAcentral lists this ribosomal RNA (253 nucleotides) under uncultured bacterium. RNAcentral's name for it is "partial 16S ribosomal RNA". It matches the Rfam family "Bacterial small subunit ribosomal RNA", at positions 524 to 776 of the family's 1533-position model. The record is from RNAcentral.